GAUGAACGCUGGCGGCGUGCCUAAUACAUGCAAGUAGAACGCUGAAGGAGGAGCUUACUCUUCUGGAUGAGUUGCGAACGGGUGAGUAACGCGUAGGUAACCUGCCUGGUAGCGGGGGAUAACUAUUGGAAACGAUAGCUAAUACCGCAUGACAACAGUUAUUGCAUGAUAACUGUUUAAAAGGGGCAACUGCUCCACUACCAGAUGGACCUGCGUUGUAUUAGCUAGUUGGUGAGGUAACGGCUCACCAAGGCGACGAUACAUAGCCGACCUGAGAGGGUGAUCGGCCACACUGGGACUGAGACACGGCCCAGCCUCCUACGGGAGGCAGCAGUAGGGAAUCUUCGGCAAUGGACGGAAGUCUGAACGAGCAACGCCGCGUGAGUGAAGAAGGUUUUCGGAUCGUAAAGCUCUGUUGUAAGAGAAGAACGAGUGUGAGAGUGGAAAGUUCACACUGUGACGGUAUCUUACCAGAAAGGGACGGCUAACUACGUG
Molecule: ribosomal RNA, 495 nt
Filed under: uncultured bacterium
Lineage: Bacteria
Description: partial 16S ribosomal RNA
Rfam family: Bacterial small subunit ribosomal RNA
Source: RNAcentral